CCUACGGGGGGCAGCAGUGGGGAAUAUUGCACAAUGGGCGAAACCCUGAUGCAGCAACGCCGCGUGAGUGAAGCAGUCUUUCGGUAUGUAAAGCUCUAUCAGCAGGGAAGAAGAUGACGGUACCUGCGUAAGAAGCCCCGGCUAACUCCGUGCCAGCAGCCGCGGUAAUACGUAGGGGGCAAGCGUUAUCCGGAUUUACUGGGUGUAAAGGGAGCGUAGACGGUGAGACAAGUCUGAAGUGAAAGCCCGGGGCUCAACCCCGGGACUGCUUUGGAAACUGGCUGACUGGAGUGCGGGAGAGGUAAGCGGAAUUCCUAGUGUAGCGGUGAAAUGCGUAGAUAUUAGGAAGAACACCAGUGGCGAAGGCGGCUUGCUGGACAGUAACUGACGUUGAGGCUCGAAAGCGUGGGGAGCAAACAGGAUUAGAUACCCCAGUAGUC
RNAcentral lists this ribosomal RNA (440 nucleotides) under uncultured bacterium. RNAcentral describes it as "partial 16S ribosomal RNA". It matches the Rfam family "Bacterial small subunit ribosomal RNA", at positions 338 to 795 of the family's 1533-position model. The record is from RNAcentral.